GUAGAAAUCUACUUAGGUUUGGUUACAGUUAUCUGAAGCACCUGGAAGAGGGACUUGGGAAGUGGCAGUUUGUGCAGGAAUGGCCCCAUUAUUUCCAUUAUGGGCUGAAUAUUCACACUUCAUCUUGAAACACUCAUGUAAGAGGAAAAGAAGAACUUCUGCAGAUUCAGGGAUCAACACUGAUGACAUUCUAAAUUCACUUGGACCAAAUCUGAAUAUCAGAUGAAUCACAUUAUCUACUUUGUGGGACCCAUUUAGAAAGACUCCAAAUAUCCAAAUGACACCAGCUAAGGAUACAAAAGAGAAUUAUAAAGAGGAAGAUACUGCAGACUGGCUCGUUACAUAUGGACUCUGACUCCCUUCUAGAUUCCCUUCUGCACUAUGGUACUUGAAAAACUGCAUUUACUAGCCUCCAGGGUUCAAGGCCAUGACAAGGAGUUUUGUCCUCCUUCAGGCACAGAGGUAAUAGUGUUUUGUUCUUCUGGAGCUUUUGCAGCAGAGAUGUUGGUUAUAGGUCCCCAGAGUCCUGGUUCCUAUGUGAUAUGCAGUCCCAGCAAUAGUUUUUCAUGUGAUGUUGAGUACGUUUUCCAGCUUGGUGGUAUCAAGAUUUAUGGUAUGUAAGCUCCAUUCCUCAAUCCUUCAAAGAUUCUAUAAAUGCAUACUCUUUAAUGAAUCUUUCUUGACUCAAAUUAGCUAGAGUGGAUAUUAUUGUCAUGUAAUGGGAAUCCGAAUGAUGUAGGUGAGGCUUCUGAAUUUUUAGCUUUUUGAAUACUUAUUACUUAAUUUAUCUUCAAAAUAUUUGUAUCAUAUACCUUCCUACAAGCAGUGCACAAGUUUC
Mustela erminea (ermine) is the source of this 838-nucleotide long non-coding RNA. RefSeq lists it as uncharacterized. The record is from RefSeq and is a predicted model, not a curated record. The transcript is spliced from 4 exons. NCBI's taxonomy places the organism in Eukaryota, Metazoa, Chordata, Mammalia, Carnivora, Mustelidae.